This 260-nucleotide ribosomal RNA is filed under the name uncultured bacterium. RNAcentral describes it as "partial small subunit ribosomal RNA". It matches the Rfam family "Bacterial small subunit ribosomal RNA", at positions 26 to 290 of the family's 1533-position model. The record is from RNAcentral.
AGGACGAACGCUGGCGCGUGCUUAACGACGAUGCAAGUCGAGCGGAAAGGCCCUUCGGGGUACUCGAGCGGCGAACGGGUGAGUAACACGUGAGCAACCUGCCCUUAGCUUCGGGAUAGCUCCGGGAAACCGGAAUUAAUACCGAAUAUGACUGCGGCUGACAUCAGCCACAGUGGAAAGUUUUUCGGCUAGGGAUGGACUCGCGGCCUAUCAGCUAGUUGGUGAGGUAACGGCCCACCAAGGCGACGACGGGUAGCCGG